AAAGCUUCCCUCACCAACAUGGCUGGUUCCCCACUUCCUGUCAAGAUGGAGGACCAUACCACCACACCCAACUCAGGACACUCCCAACCACAGGCCUCCAGUCCUGAUACACCAGUCUCUUUAAUGACUGACUGUGGCAGAGCGGUUGCAGUACUGACGUCACGGACCAGGAAGAAGCAAUACAAAAC
This is a long non-coding RNA of Acipenser ruthenus (sterlet), 188 nucleotides long. RefSeq lists it as uncharacterized. The record is from RefSeq and is a predicted model, not a curated record. The transcript has 3 exons. NCBI's taxonomy places the organism in Eukaryota, Metazoa, Chordata, Actinopteri, Acipenseriformes, Acipenseridae.